Raphanus sativus (radish) is the source of this 1384-nucleotide long non-coding RNA. RefSeq lists it as uncharacterized. The transcript has 4 exons. Lineage: Eukaryota; Viridiplantae; Streptophyta; Magnoliopsida; Brassicales; Brassicaceae. The record is from RefSeq and is a predicted model, not a curated record.
ACUCUGACCACAAAGCAAAGCAAAGCAAAGGAAGCAGCUGUCUUGGUGGUGGUUAUCUGCAAAAAAAGAAGAAGAUGGACAUGGGAUUCGCAGACCGUCGAAAUACUAGCAGGAACCAUCUGGUGACCCAUGUCUCAAAGUCAACGCAAAAGGGAAGCUCUUCUUUGCUUUGUUACUGAUCUGAUCUGCUAUUUUAUUCAUUCAAUUCAAUUCAAUUUGGGGGGUGAUUGACAGGAGGAGCCCUUCAAUGCCUCGCUCUGCCUUAGUGUCAUCUUAUGUCACUUCCAGUAUCCAUCUUUUCUACAAGCGAAAUCAUGGUCGAAAAGUGAACCCUCUUAGCCAAGCCACAAAUCCUUGGAGAGGUUUGAUAUCUUUCUCUUUUGCCUCCUCAGCAGCAAAACUAGUCUCAUCAUCAACAAAAAAGAAUGCCAUGUCUAUCUCAGCAAAAGUGUCAUACCAAAAAAGAUUUUCCCUGUUCAGAGUUGUGGGAAUGGGCAGUUGCCGGAAAACGUGGAGUCAGUGUGGAACCUAAGAGGGGUGCUCAACGCCGUUGCACCGUGUCCUGAACCCACUCAACUUGUGGAUCAAUGUCCUCUUCUUUGACCUCUUCUCGGUUUCAAAACACAAGACUCUUUAAAAAAGAAUGUAUCCACCUGUGAUUAUUCUUUUAGCUUUUCGUCCUAGUUUGGUGCGUUAUUUUAAUAUCCAACCACUGUUUACCGAUUUUGAUGCAUUAUUAUUUUUAUAACAAAUGUGCUUGCAAUAUCGUAUGGUUGAGCACAUUUAUCAAUAGUGCAUGCUCCUUGAUUGCUUCGCAGUCCACUUUCCUCCUAAUCUUCGUGUGCGCCUCGUCUUAUUCGAUCCAUGCUUGUAUAACCGCAAUUCUGGCGUCAAUUUGCAACACAAGAAACAUGGCUUGACACAGAAAAAUAACGACGAGAACUUCUGAAGCUGAAGAACACAGAGACAGAGAGUUUUGAGUAUUCAACACAGAGAGAAAAGUGAGAUGACAGAGUCUCAGAAAGACAGAGAGAUAGAGAUGCAGAAACGAAAACAGAGUGAGAAAGACCAAUUAGUUGAUACCAAGGCUGGUAGUAUGGAUGAGCUUCAACCUCGAGAUAAUUUUAUGUCUGGCAGUACAGAGGAGGUUCAACUAUUUCUUGUUGCUAGGUAUUAGCUUGUAUGAGCAUUUGUUUACUUCAAUUUUUUUUUUCAUUUGUUUUCUUUCUGUUUGAUAUUUUUUUUGAUAUUGAAGAAUCAGUAGUUGUGUUUCAGUCAAGUCUGUGAAAUUUUUGUUUCAGUCGACUUGUACUUUUGUGUUUUGUUGAGUAUUAGUUUUAGACUUAUGUAAGACUCAUUUGUAUUUGCGAUGUGUGGUUUGGUU